UGGGGAAUAUUGCACAAUGGGGGAAACCCGUGAUGCAGCGACGCCGCGUGAGCGAUGAAGUAUUUCGGUAUGUAAAGCUCUAUCAGCAGGGAAGAAAAUGACGGUACCUGACUAAGAAGCACCGGCUAAAUACGUGCC
Molecule: ribosomal RNA, 138 nt
Filed under: uncultured bacterium
Lineage: Bacteria
Description: partial 16S ribosomal RNA
Rfam family: Bacterial small subunit ribosomal RNA
Source: RNAcentral